Molecule: ribosomal RNA, 460 nt
Filed under: uncultured bacterium
Lineage: Bacteria
Description: partial 16S ribosomal RNA
Rfam family: Bacterial small subunit ribosomal RNA
Source: RNAcentral
CCUACGGGUGGCAGCAGUGAGGAAUAUUGGUCAAUGGACGAGAGUCUGAACCAGCCAAGUAGCGUGAAGGAUGACUGCCCUAUGGGUUGUAAACUUCUUUUAUAUGGGAAUAAAAUGUUCCACGUGUGGGAUUUUGUAUGUACCAUAUGAAUAAGGAACGGCUUACUCCGUGCCAGCAGCCGCGGUAAUACGGAGGAUCCGAUCGUUAUCCGGAUUUAUUGGGUUUAAAGGGAGCGUAGGUGGGUUGUUAAGUCAGUUGUGAAAUUUUGAGGCUCAACCGUAAAAUUGCAGUUGAAACUGGCAGUCUUGAGUAUAGUAGAGGUGGGCGGAAUUCGUGGUGUAGCGGUGAAAUGCUUAGAUAUCACGAAGAACUACGAUUGCGAAGGCAGCUCACUGGACUGCAACUGACACUGAGUCUCGAAAGUGUGGGUAUCAAACAGGAGUAGAUACCCCAGUAGGC